Long non-coding RNA from Oncorhynchus mykiss (rainbow trout), 2876 nucleotides. RefSeq lists it as uncharacterized. The record is from RefSeq and is a predicted model, not a curated record. Lineage: Eukaryota; Metazoa; Chordata; Actinopteri; Salmoniformes; Salmonidae.
GAAAUUUGUGGAGUGGUUGAAAAACAAGUUUUAAUGACUUUAAGUGUUUGUAAACUUCUGACUUCAACUGUAAGAACAUUUAGCACCUAUAAAAAAACACGCUUAUCAAUUGACCUCAUUGGACAGAAAGGAGCACACCUCCCCACAUAUACACCAUGCAGCCAAUAUUCAAUAUAUUUUCAUAUAUAUAUAUGAAUGCUGGUUGUAUGGCGUAUUAUGUAACAUGAAACGCAAAGGGGCACAGCUCCCCACACUCACGAGAAACAGCAUACAAUGCUUGCAUGAAACUGAAAAUGUUUCAUGAGAUACGAAAUGUAUUCAACAAUCAAGUAAACAUUUUAUAGAAACAAUUAGCAUCUAAACAUCCAUAGUGUGUCUUUAAAUCAGAACUUUGAAUAAGAAAAUACUUAAUUACGGCCUAAAACAUUGCUAAUAAUACAAAAUAAAGACCUCAUUAGCUACUUAUAUACAGAUGUACAAACGAGUAAUUAGUAGCUAAUAUGUGUACUUUAAAAUACAAUUUCACCAAAUAAGUCCCAGUAGAUUCAUGCAGGGUAGUAACGACAUGAUUUGGCACUAUGUUCAUUGCUAUUUACCUAGCUAACGUUAGCUGACUGGCUCAUUAGCUAAGGUUACGUGAUGUGUGUGAUCUUACACGUUGUUUACCUAGCUAGGUUAAUUGUUUACCUAGCUAGUUAGCUACAUGUCUUAAGCUAAAGUGUACUGUUAGCUAGCUAGCUAAUGUUAGCUGGCUGUCUCCCUAGCUGACAUUAUUAUUCGUAUCCCAGAGCCGUUUGAUUUGCUAGUUAGAGCCUAAUGUUGGUUAGCUCCCAGCAGAUUCAUACAGGAUAGGAACAACAUGAUUUGGCACUAUGUUCAUUGCUGUUUCAAUUUAAGUAACAUAUUAGAAUGAUUUGGCUGGAUGCUACAAUCCUUAUUGACAGAUUUGAAGAAACAGUGCAAAGUUUAUUUUCUGAAAGGAAUGAAAAUAGUACAUCCCUUUGUGUCAAUAUCGUCAAAAUUAUAUAAGUACAUUUAGCACCUCUAAAAAAAACACGCUAAUCAAUUGUGAACAAUUGACUUCUUGAUUACAGGUAUGAACUAUUUUACACACAGCCCUAUCAUUCACUAUCACCCAAUAUGUAAAUAUACUCUAUAAUAUAACCUAAAUUACCUUUGGGUCUAAUCCAGUGCAAUAUUCAGCCUACAUUUUAUUAAUAGGAGAAGUUUAUUACUUUGCAACCCUGUCAACACAAUGUUUCUUAUGCAAAGUGAGCAAUUAAAUUAUGUAAGAGCCUGCGGGAUCCCAAAUAAUAUUUGCGAUAGCAUCAGCCUGGGCACAGCUGAAUUGCUCAAUGCUAAAAACAUACAAUGUACGCACCAAAGACGAGAGUUUAUCUAAAAGGUUUGAAUGGUUUGUAUUGUAACUGAUAUGGCUUGUGUAAUAACAUAUUAACACAUGUAAUAACGCAUUCACUGACUGUUGUCUGCCUGUGGCCUAACGAUGCAAUUUUGGCUUGUACUCUGUGUUAUACCUUCCCCCUCUCUCUGUUUCUCUAUAUACUAACUACACUGGAAACCCCCACAAGGGUGGCUGACUAAGAUAAUAUACACACUGAAACCCAUAAAUACACGCACACACUCAAAACCCUUUGGGAUGGGCUCCAAAGACAAAGAACUCUGUCGAGAACCAAUGGGAUACUGACACCAGGCUGGAGAGGACUGUCUAUCACCUACAAGCAACCUACCAGAAGCCAGGACUACCAGAAUCUACCUACGUCAUUUCAAUGUAUAAAUGAACUGCACAAUAUGUUUUAGGCCUCUUCUUCUUCCGAUAGUUCCCUAAGAGCUGGACGAAUGGGGGCCGUGCAGCACGUUUUGCCAGAUAUCAUUACGCUUGAAUAAACGGCCUUUACUAUACCGUAUCCGCCUUGUCCAGAGUAUCAUCUUGGUCUCGUUUCUCAUGUAACUAAUCAUCAACAAAAUGGUAGCAAGAGGAUGGUUGAAACCCAUGAAUUCGGUCCAUAGACUUGAUGAGAGAAAAGACAAGUUGACGACAGAUUCUAGAAGGACGGGCGACCUGUCUACAGGAGCCAUCGGGGAUUCAACUCGCCUCAGGAAACUGAUCAAAGAGCUCGACACUAUAAGCUCUCUCUGCUCAGGUUCGAAAGGUCCAGGAGGGAGAACUGCCGGAGGAACCAGUGCCACUGAAGGUAAAAGUUGGAGACUGGGUAAGGGUAAAGGUCCACAAGAGAAAGUGGCUGGAACCCAGAUGACUGGUCAGUACGAAGUGAAGAAGGUUACUUCACACUCAGUCCAGGUCAAAGGUAAAUUGGGCGCACCUUGGCACCACCUCACACAUUGUACACCAGCUCCAACCCCUUCCCGCACACUGACGGAAGUCAGAACUGACCUAAGUGGUCUACAUUCGGCCCCAAAUCUUGCACCUCCUUAGUCAGGGAAAAUGCGAGGUUCAGUCCCAUAUUCACUGACUAAGUCACACCGUACUCCUUGGGAACGUUUGGGGAUCUCCGGACCCCUGUUUGUUAUUUUUCUUCUCAUAGGAGGAGUCACUGUAUGCACACUCACAUGGCUUAUAGACCAACAGAUGCACCCACUACAGAUUCACACACUGAAUUCUACUCUGCCAGGUGAAACUAACUCUCUCUCCUUUUUUCCCCUCUUAUCUACCACAAGACCAUACCGUUUCUAGGCGUGAGGUGGGGGUCACUAAGUGCACCCCCCAGGAGUUGAAGAGCAUCCCUUGUGUUUGCCUUUCAAUGCCACCACCACCGCUUAUCUGCCUUGGAGCCUUUUGGGUAAUGCGCGAAAUAGUCUGGGGCUACCUGCCAGGACUUAUUCCAGUUUGAACUGGU